GACACUCUGAAACUGCGUACAAAAAAAAAGAGAAUAUUUGAGGAGCGAUACCUUUAUCGGAAUGAAAUAUUUACGCAAUAUUGACCUUUCAUAUAACCGUUUGAGGUACAUAGAACCCGGAUUGUUAUUAAAUAUGGCUGCAAGUCUUCUCAAUUUUGAUGUGUCUAAUAAUUUAUUGACCACAGUAGAUAUCACUAAUAUUUUGUGGGAAAAUCAACCAGCGUUCUGCGAAACCAAUUUUUCCU
RNAcentral lists this long non-coding RNA (245 nucleotides) under Mytilus galloprovincialis (Mediterranean mussel). The record is from RNAcentral. Lineage: Eukaryota; Metazoa; Mollusca; Bivalvia; Mytilida; Mytilidae.